Molecule: ribosomal RNA, 253 nt
Filed under: uncultured bacterium
Lineage: Bacteria
Description: partial 16S ribosomal RNA
Rfam family: Bacterial small subunit ribosomal RNA
Source: RNAcentral
UACAGAGACUGCAAGCGUUAUUCGGAUUCACUGGGCGUAAAGGGUGCGCAGGCGGCCAUGUGUGUGAGGCGUGAAAGCCCGGGGCUUAACCCCGGAAUUGCACCUCAAACUACAUGGCUAGAGCAUUGGAGAGGGUAGCAGAAUUCAUGGUGUAGCAGUGAAAUGCGUAGAUAUCGGGAAGAACACCCGUGGCGAAGGCGGUUCUCUGGGACGGUACUGACGCUGAGACGCGAAAGCGUGGGGAGCGAACAGG